This 773-nucleotide ribosomal RNA is filed under the name uncultured Neocallimastigales. RNAcentral's name for it is "partial large subunit ribosomal RNA". It matches the Rfam family "Eukaryotic large subunit ribosomal RNA", at positions 23 to 616 of the family's 3401-position model. Lineage: Eukaryota; Fungi; Neocallimastigomycota; Neocallimastigomycetes; Neocallimastigales. The record is from RNAcentral.
AGAGAGAGACAUGCGCGCAUAUCAAUAAGCGGAGGAAAAGAAACUAACAAGGAUUCCCUAGUAACGGCGAGUGAAGCGGGAAGAGCUCAAAUUUGAAAUCUUAAAGGGUUUCCCUUUACGAAUUGUAGUUUAAAGAAGCGUUUUCUGUUGAGGUUUUGGUAAAAGUUCUUUGGAAUAGGACAUCAUAGAGGGUGAGAAUCCCGUAUUUGACCUUUACUUUCAACUUUGUGAUACACUUUCAAAGAGUCGGAUUGUUUGGGAAUGCAGUCCAAAAUGGGUGGUAAAUUUCAUCUAAAGCUAAAUAUUGGCGAGAGACCGAUAGCGAACAAGUACCGUGAGGGAAAGAUGAAAAGAACUUUGAAAAGAGAGUUAAACAGUACGUGAAAUUGUCAAAAGGGAAGCGUUUGACACCAGUGUUGUUUUUCUGAAAAUCAAUUAAAGAACUGUUUAUGCUAAGUUGUUUAGACUUUAUCAGCUAACUGUUUAGUUUUGAGCUUUUCUUUAAUGCACUUUUCAGUUAACAAGUCAACAUCAAUUUCUUUUGCUGUAAAAAAGCUUGAGGAAGGUGGCUUGAGAUUCGUCUUAAGUGUUUAUAGCCUCUUGCCUAUGCAGUCGGAGAGAUUGAGGUCUGCAGCGUAGAUCCUUCGGGGCUAAAUGCAUUUGUGCUAAGUUAUAGCAUUUUAUAGACAACUUGUUGACUAUGAUUUGUCUUGUAGCUUACUCGCUUAUGUUAUUUUACCUACGCUUAGGAUGUUGAGCGCAUGUCUCUCUCU